This 253-nucleotide ribosomal RNA is filed under the name uncultured bacterium. RNAcentral's name for it is "partial 16S ribosomal RNA". It matches the Rfam family "Bacterial small subunit ribosomal RNA", at positions 524 to 776 of the family's 1533-position model. The record is from RNAcentral.
UACGAAGGGGGCUAGCGUUGUUCGGAAUUACUGGGCGUAAAGCGCGCGCAGGCGGCUAUCCAAGUCGGUGGUGAAAGCCCGGAGCUCAACUCCGGAACUGCCAUUGAAACUGUUUAGCUUGAGGACGAGAGAGGUGAGUGGAAUUCCCAGUGUAGAGGUGAAAUUCGUAGAUAUUGGGAAGAACACCGGUGGCGAAGGCGGCUCACUGGCUCGUAUCUGACGCUCAGGCGCGACAGCGUGGGGAUCAAACAGG